GAUGAACGCUAGCGGGAGGCUUAACACAUGCAAGUCGAGGGGCAUCACGAGGUAGCAAUACUUUGGUGGCGACCGGCGCACGGGUGAGUAACACGUAUGCAACCUACCCUGUACAGGGGGAUAACCCGGAGAAAUUCGGACUAAUAUUCCAUAAUGAUAUUUUAGGGCAUCCUUUAAUAUUUAAAGCUUUGGCGGUACAGGAUGGGCAUGCGCAACAUUAGCUAGUUGGGAGGGUAACGGCCUACCAAGGCUAUGAUGUUUAGGGGACCUGAGAGGGUGAUCCCCCACACUGGUACUGAGACACGGACCAGACUCCUACGGGAGGCAGCAGUGAGGAAUAUUGGUCAAUGGGCGGAAGCCUGAACCAGCCAUCCCCGCGUGCAGGAAGACAGCCCUAUGGGUUGUAAACUGCUUUUCCAGUGGGCGAACCCCUCGUACGUGUACGGGAUUGACGGUACACUGGGAAUAAGCAUCGGCUAACUCCGUGCCAGCAGCCGCGGUAAUCACGAG
Molecule: ribosomal RNA, 510 nt
Filed under: uncultured bacterium
Lineage: Bacteria
Description: bacterial SSU rRNA
Rfam family: Bacterial small subunit ribosomal RNA
Source: RNAcentral